RNAcentral lists this ribosomal RNA (483 nucleotides) under uncultured bacterium. RNAcentral describes it as "bacterial SSU rRNA". It matches the Rfam family "Bacterial small subunit ribosomal RNA", at positions 28 to 524 of the family's 1533-position model. The record is from RNAcentral.
GAUGAACGCUAGCGGCAGGCUUAAUACAUGCAAGUCAAGGGGUCAGCAAUGACACCGGCGGACGGGUGAGUAACGCGUACACAACGUACCUUUAACUGGGGGAUAGCAUUUGGAAACGAGUGGUAAUACCGCAUGUGGUUGUAGGGAGGCAUCUUUUGCAACUAAAACUCAGGUGGUUAAAGAUCGGUGUGCGUCCGAUUAGCUUGUUGGUGAGGUAAUGGCUCACCAAGGCGACGAUCGGUAGGGGCGUGAGAGCGUGAACCCCCACACGGGUACUGAGACACGGACCCGACUCCUACGGGAGGCAGCAGUAAGGAAUAUUGGUCAAUGGAGGCAACUCUGAACCAGCCAUGCCGCGUGAAGGAAGAAGGCGCUAUGCGUUGUAAACUUCUUUUGGGUGGGAAGAAAAUGGUCAAUUUAUUGGCAACUGACGGUACCAUCAGAAUAAGCACCGGCUAACUCCGUGCCAGCAGCCGCGGUAAU